This 416-nucleotide ribosomal RNA is filed under the name uncultured Glomeromycotina. RNAcentral's name for it is "SSU rRNA". It matches the Rfam family "Eukaryotic small subunit ribosomal RNA", at positions 676 to 1092 of the family's 1831-position model. The record is from RNAcentral. Lineage: Eukaryota; Fungi; Glomeromycota.
UUGACUGGUCUCGCUGAUCCCUCCCUCUUGACGAGCUGUGAUGCCAUUAAUUUGGUGUCACCGGGGAUCAGGACUGUUACUUUGAACAAAUUAAAGUGUUUAAAGCAGGCUUUCUCCUGAAUACAUUAGCAUGGAAUAAUGAAAUAGGACGUUUGAUCCUAUUUUGUUGGUUUCUAGGAUUGACGUAAUGAUUAAUAAGGAUAGUUGGGGGCAUAGUAUUCAAUUGUCAGAGGUGAAAUUCUUGGAUUUAUUGAACACUAACUACUGCGAAAGCAUUUGCCUGGAUGUUUUCAUUAAUCAAGAACGAAAGUUAGGGGAUCGAAGACGAUCAGAUACCGUCGUGGUCUUAACCAUAAACUAUGCCGACUAGGGAUCGGAUGAUGUUAAUUUUUUAAUGACUCAUUCGGCGCCUUACC